RNAcentral lists this ribosomal RNA (279 nucleotides) under uncultured bacterium. Its description in RNAcentral is "partial 16S ribosomal RNA". It matches the Rfam family "Bacterial small subunit ribosomal RNA", at positions 506 to 784 of the family's 1533-position model. The record is from RNAcentral.
UGCCAGCAGCCGCGGUAACACGGGGGGCGCAAGCGUUAUUCGGAAUUAUUGGGCGUAAAGCGCGCGUAGGUGGUUUGUUAAGUCGGAUGUGAAAGCCCUGGGCUCAACCUGGGAAUUGCAUUCGAUACUGGCUAACUAGAAUGCGAGAGAGGGAGGUAGAAUUCCACGUGUAGCGGUGAAAUGCGUAGAUAUGUGGAGGAAUACCGGUGGCGAAGGCGGCCUCCUGGCUCGACACUGACGCUGAGGUGCGAAAGCGUGGGGAGCAAACAGGAUUAGAUA